CAAUAGCGUAUAUUAAAGUUGUUGCAGUUAAAAAGCUCGGAGUUGGAUUUCUGGUUGAAGCGACCGGUCGGGCGUUGAUUCGUCUGCACUGGAGUCGGUUUUGGCCAUCCUCUAGGAAAGUGCGUCUGGUAUUAAGUUAUCGGGCGUAUGAUCCUGGUCUUUUACUGUGAAAAAAUUAGAGUGUUUAAAGCAGGCCUUCGCCUUGAAUACAUUAGCAUGGAAUAAUAAGAUAGGACUUUGGUCUAUUUUGUUGGUUUGCAGACCGAAGUAAUGAUUAAUAGGGAUAGUUGGGGGUAUUUAUAUUCCGAUGUCAGAGGUGAAAUUCUUAGAUUUUCGGAAGAUAAACUUAUGCGAAAGCAUUUACCAAGGAUGUUUNCAUUA
This 381-nucleotide ribosomal RNA is filed under the name uncultured eukaryote. RNAcentral's name for it is "partial 18S ribosomal RNA". It matches the Rfam family "Eukaryotic small subunit ribosomal RNA", at positions 592 to 975 of the family's 1831-position model. The record is from RNAcentral.